AUGCUGUGGCCUUUCCCCCCCGCGUCCCCGCAGCCACCUGGUGGCCGCGGGCGGCGCGUCCUGCCCCGUGGGGCUGUGCCCUGCGUGGGGCUGUGCCCUGCGUGGGGCUGCCCGCAGCGGGGCUGCCCGCAGCACAUGUGGGCGCGCAGCUGCGGGAGGGGGAAGCCCACGGGGCUGGAGGCGGCUUUCUGCUGGGGGCUGCAGCCCACACCUGGGAGGGAGGGAGAGAGAGAGAGAGAGAGAGGGAGGGAGGGAGGGAAGGAGGAAGGGAGGGAGGGAAGGAAGGAGGCAGGCAGGCAGCCGCCUCUAACUCAAGUUUCAGCCGUGCAUCGCGCUGGGAGCCGACGUGCCACCAGGAAGAAGUGUCAGUGUAAAAGUCUCCACUUGGGUGGUCAGAGCAGUGGCUGCCCCCACUUUGCCUCAUCGCUGAUGCCUGCGUGCUACAUUCCCAGCGAUAAUGUUGUUCCUAAUCAAUCUGCCCUUAUUUACAUUUGUAAGCACUGCUGGCUGUGAUAUGCAUGGGCCUUGUGUGCAACUGCUCCUCCACACCAAGGGCUGCUUCUGCCUUCAGCAGCUCGCCUGGGACCUGCAGAUGUCUUAUCUCGGACUUGCCCUGUGGCCAAGGCCCGGGAAGGUGUCCCCGCGGGUGGAGUGGCUGCAGUCUGCAAUCUGACUGAAAUACGCCUGGUCUCCCCUGCUCCUGGACCGCCAGGGCUGGCACGCAAGAAUCCCGGGGCUUCAUUUUACAAGGCUUUGCCUCUUGCUUGGGUCACCUUCGUGCUCACCGCAACCCCAGACACCGCACAGCUCCACGCUCCCCGCAGCCACGCGAGGGACCAGCCCCGGCAGGGUGUGCAGCGCCGUGACCCUGCUUUACUGUCACGCGUCUCUGCAGGUUGCCCAUCACCUGCGGACCGCAGCAGCGCCGGGGUGCGGGGCCUGCCCUUCCCCUCACCCCACCCCACGGGGGGGCUGCGGAGCCCACCCGCGGGGCGCUGCCUUGGCGUGUCCCCCCGGCCCCGCCACCGCGCAGGGGCACGGAGGCGGCGGCACGGAGCCGGCCCGCUCCCCCUCCUCAGCCCGGCAAGCAAAGGGAGCUGCUCGAGCCAGCUUGUCAAAAUAAUGCGGCUAAUUACCCCUGAUCUCCUUUAAUGGAGAGCCGCUCUGCACGCCGCAAAGGAGCAAAUGAGGGAUCUACAGCGCCGGCCCGGCAGAGCGGGCGUUUCUCCCCGCGGAGGGCUGCGGGAGAUGCGCCUCCCGCGGCCGCCGGCCCUCCGCGCUGCCCCGCCGGGGCCCCGGGAGCUGCGGAGGGCGGCGGCCGCAGCUGCAGCCCCGUCCCCGCCGGGAGACACCCGGCGGGCAUCCCGGCUGCAGCAGAGCUUGUCCUGCCCGGCGAGGGGCUUUAGCCUUAUAAACCCAAGUCGUCUUCAAAACAGAUUUUUUUUUUUUUUUUUUUUUCCUUCUGGCACGGUGCCCUGCCACUUGCAGGACUUUAAUGCGCACGCAGGGGGGAAAGUUACACUGAACAGUUUUUAGCCAGCCCGGACAACACCGAGCCUGUGUAGCGAUAUAGCUCAAGUCUUGCAUUUGGCAGAGGGCAGGGCAUUCAUUUUCAUGAUCUCUGCCAUCGGGUCUCGCAGAAAAAAAGCUGAGCGACACGAUCUCUUUGACCCACUGCUGGAGCAACAAAUUUAUUAGAGAUAUAGGCGUGAGAAAUGAAAAGGAAGUAAAACAAUUCAGGCUCAUUGUAUGUCUUUCUUUCAUACUGCUAAUCCGGUUUACACAUCACGCCUACAUGUCUCAAUAGGGCUUUAUACACUGUGGCAAAGGCAGAAGAAAAUAAAAGGUGUGUGUGUGAGUGCGUGCGUGUGUGU
This 1874-nucleotide long non-coding RNA is filed under the name Anas platyrhynchos platyrhynchos (common mallard). Its description in RNAcentral is "lncRNA (ENSAPLG00000026705.1)". The record is from RNAcentral. Lineage: Eukaryota; Metazoa; Chordata; Aves; Anseriformes; Anatidae.